UACGUAGGGGGCAAGCGUUGUCCGGAUUCAUUGGGCGUAAAGAGCGUGUAGGCGGCCAGGUAGGUCGGUUGUGAAAACUGGAGGCUCAACCUUCAGAGGUCGACCGAAACCAUCUGGCUAGAGUCCGGGAGAGGAGAGUGGAAUUCCUGGUGUAGCGGUGAAAUGCGCAGAUAUCAGGAAGAACACCCGUGGCGAAAGCGGCUCCCUGGAACGGUACUGACGCUGAGACGCGAAAGCGUGGGGAGCGAACAGG
Molecule: ribosomal RNA, 253 nt
Filed under: uncultured bacterium
Lineage: Bacteria
Description: partial 16S ribosomal RNA
Rfam family: Bacterial small subunit ribosomal RNA
Source: RNAcentral